This 253-nucleotide ribosomal RNA is filed under the name uncultured bacterium. RNAcentral describes it as "partial 16S ribosomal RNA". It matches the Rfam family "Bacterial small subunit ribosomal RNA", at positions 524 to 776 of the family's 1533-position model. The record is from RNAcentral.
UACGUAGGGGGCGAGCGUUGUCCGGAUUUAUUGGGCGUAAAGGGCGUGUAGGCGGCGGCUUAAGUGUUGGGUGAAAUCGCCCGGCUUAACUGGGCGGGGUCCUGGCAAACUGGGUCGCUGGAGGCUGGUAGGGGCGCACGGAAUUCCCGGUGUAGUGGUGAAAUGCGUAGAGAUCGGGAGGAACACCGGUGGCGAAGGCGGUGCGCUGGGCCAAGCCUGACGCUGAGGCGCGAAAGCGUGGGGAGCGAACUGG